GACGAACGCUGGCGGCGUGCUUAACACAUGCAAGUCGAACGGAAAGGCCCUGCUUUUGUGGGGUGCUCGAGUGGCGAACGGGUGAGUAACACGUGAGUAACCUGCCCUUGACUUUGGGAUAACUUCAGGAAACUGGGGCUAAUACCGGAUAGGAGCUCCUGCUGCAUGGUGGGGGUUGGAAAGUUUCGGCGGUUGGGGUUGGACUCGCGGCUUAUCAGCUUGUUGGUGGGGUAGUGGCUUACCAAGGCUUUGACGGGUAGCCGGGCUGGGAGGGUGACCGGCCACAUUGGGAUGGGACUACGGCCCGGCCUCCUACGGGACGCAGCAGAGGGGAAGGGAACACUAUGGGCGGAAGCCUGAUGCAGCAACGCCGCGUGGGGGAUGAGGGCCAUCGGGUUGUAAACCGCAGUCGCCUGUGACGAAGCGUGAGUGACGGUAAUGGGUAAAGAAGCACCGGCUAACUACGUG
RNAcentral lists this ribosomal RNA (468 nucleotides) under uncultured bacterium. RNAcentral's name for it is "partial 16S ribosomal RNA". It matches the Rfam family "Bacterial small subunit ribosomal RNA", at positions 28 to 507 of the family's 1533-position model. The record is from RNAcentral.